RNAcentral lists this ribosomal RNA (465 nucleotides) under uncultured bacterium. RNAcentral describes it as "partial 16S ribosomal RNA". It matches the Rfam family "Bacterial small subunit ribosomal RNA", at positions 339 to 795 of the family's 1533-position model. The record is from RNAcentral.
CUACGGGCGGCACCAGUCGAGAGGCUUCGUCAAUGGGGGCAACCCUGAACGAGCGACGCCGCGUGAGCGAUGAAGGUCGUAAGAUCGUAAAGCUCUGUUAGUGGGGAAGAAACCCCGGGGUGCUAAUACCACCACGGCUUGACGUUACCCACAAAGAAAGCUCCGGCUAACUCCGUGCCAGCAGCCGCGGUAACACGGGGGGAGCAAACGUUGUUCGGAAUCACUGGGCGUAAAGGGCGCGUAGGCGGCCUGGUCAGUGAAACGUGAAAGCCCCUGGCUCAACCAGGGAAUGUCGUUUCAUACUGCCAGGCUUGAGGACGGGAGAGGAGAGGGGAAUUCCCGGUGUAGCGGUGAAAUGCACUGAUAUCGGGAGGAACACCAGUGGCGAAGGCGCCUCUCUGGCCCGUUCCUGACGCUCAGGCGCGAAAGCAGGGGGAGCAAACAGGAUUAGAUACCCCCGUAGUC